Molecule: ribosomal RNA, 252 nt
Filed under: uncultured bacterium
Lineage: Bacteria
Description: partial 16S ribosomal RNA
Rfam family: Bacterial small subunit ribosomal RNA
Source: RNAcentral
UACGGAGGAUGCGAGCGUUAUCCGGAUUUAUUGGGUUUAAAGGGUGCGUAGGCGGAUCGUUAAGUCAGUGGUCAAAUUGAGGGGCUCAACCCCUUCCCGCCAUUGAAACUGGCGAUCUUGAGUGGAAGAGAAGUAUGCGGAAUGCGUGGUGUAGCGGUGAAAUGCAUAGAUAUCACGCAGAACCCCGAUUGCGAAGGCAGCAUGCCGGCUUCCUACUGACGCUGAAGCACGAAAGCGUGGGGAUCGAAUAGG